This is a long non-coding RNA of Gallus gallus (chicken), 618 nucleotides long. Lineage: Eukaryota; Metazoa; Chordata; Aves; Galliformes; Phasianidae. The record is from Ensembl.
GUACGUGUAUGGGAAUAAGGGGACCCCGGGAAUGAGGAGAACCCGUAGGUCGCGGGGAGACGUCCUGCGCUGGGCAUAGCCGUCGUGCUGCCCCUGGGUAGUGAGCUCACAGAUUCUCCACUGGAGCCAAAGUGGGAAGGACCCUAUCAAGUCCUUCUAACUACGCACAUGGUAGUCAAGGUGAAAGGGUUGGUCCCGUGGAUACAUCAUACCUGUGUGAAGGAAGUGUCUCAACCGCACUGGACCUGGGCAAAUCAAACGGAACAAGACUCCUGCAUUGCAGUCAACAACAGAUCCUUUCCAAACACGCCUCGCUGGGAUUUUCAACGGAGCAUUCUUUUGUGGUGAGAAAAACAUAGGUGCCAGACUCCUUGUCGGCAAGACAACGAGGAAGAGUGUUUACUUCAUCCCAAGGGACCAGAUGGGGAUGCGACCAUCCAGAGGAGAAUACAAUGCGUGCGCCGGAGGGGAGGGACUUGAUUAAUGAAUACGUAGUGGGGUUCAACGUAAUGUAUGAACUUGACUUACAAAUAUGUAACAUUUCUGUGGACCGGUAUGCAAGUUAGGAGGAGCUAUCCCCCUUGCAUCCAGCUUUGCGCAGCGUUGAUUAAAACAUAC